GACGAACGCUGGCGGCGUGCCUAAUACAUGCAAGUCGAACGCAGGGGGGACGGGUGAGUAACACGUGGGUAACCUCCCAUCAGAGGGGAUAACACUUGGAAACAGGUGCUAAACCGAGACUGAUGGAUGGACCCGCGGUGCAUUAGUUAGUUGGUGGGGUAACGGCUAACCAAGGCCACGAUGCAUAGCCGACCUGGGAGGUGGAUCGGCCCACCUGGGACUGGGACACGGCCCAGACUCCUACGGGAGGCAGCGGUAGGGAAUCUUCGGCAAUGGGCGAAAGUCUGACCGAGCAACGCCGCGUGAGUGAAGAAGGUUUUCGGAUCGUAAAACUCUGUUGUUAGAGAAGCGGUAUCUAACCAGAAAGCCACGGCUAACUACGUGCCAGCAGCCGCGGUAAUUC
This 403-nucleotide ribosomal RNA is filed under the name uncultured bacterium. RNAcentral describes it as "partial 16S ribosomal RNA". It matches the Rfam family "Bacterial small subunit ribosomal RNA", at positions 28 to 526 of the family's 1533-position model. The record is from RNAcentral.